This 591-nucleotide long non-coding RNA is filed under the name Homo sapiens (human). RNAcentral describes it as "HSALNT0401549". Lineage: Eukaryota; Metazoa; Chordata; Mammalia; Primates; Hominidae. The record is from RNAcentral.
GGUCUUGCUGUAUUGCCCAAGGCUGGAGGACAGUGAUGCAAUCAUGGCUCCCUGCAGCCUUGAUCUUCUGAGCUCAGUCCCUGCUUUGAUAACCACAGGCAGCUACGGGAAAGAGUGGGAAAAGUGAGAUAGUCCCAAGAAACAGGCAACAGCAGGGAACAAGAUGUGGCUGUGGCAAGCGGCCAGCCAUCCCCGGUGCCGAGGGACCUGGGAGAAGCUAGGGCAGCUCCGGCAUUGUUCCUGCCCUGUGGUCCACAGCCUCGUCUUCAUCUAGCGUCUGCACCCCCUAACCGUCUUUCCAAAGCCUCGGGGAUGGCAGGGAAACUGCAGGGCUUGGGAUCCCGCAGAACCAAAGAGUUGGGAGAAAUCUGCAAUUUUGAGACUGAAGGAACAAGCCUUGUCGUUAUGUUGACACUGAAAAUAGCUUUAUGCUUCCACUCAGUGCCAGCUGAGUCACGGUCCUACUGACAUCUCCUGCCCAUUCAGGGCUUCCCACAUUUCAUCUCCCAGACACACUCUCCUGGCCCUUGCCCUAUUCUCCUUAUUGUAUACUUAAUUUUUUAAUGAACUCUCUCCCUUCCCUUCCCUUUC